AAUCAGGAAUCAUCAUUACAAUUUAAUAAUAAUAAUAAUAUGCUUAAUGGGGAUUUUGGUGGCAAACCCUCAUUUUAUUUAUAUACACUUUUUGAGAGCAAGAGUUGUUUCUUUUUCUUUCUUUUUUUUUCUUUAUAACCCAUGGGUCUUAUGUUAUUCCCCAUGUUGAAGAGGUUGUUGAAUUGAAUUGAAUAAUGGUGGGUUCACACUAAUAUAAAACUUUCAUUUUACCAUCCUUCAAGGGAAAUAAUUCAAAUGUAAAGAUCAUUCUGGAGAAGUCUGGACUUACUGCCUAACAAAGGGGAUUGCUUCUGGAUACUUUAAGAAUUUGAGUUCUUCUCAGUUCGGGAAAAUAAGAACUUCACUCAAAACUAGGACUGGAAGGCAGAGCUUUUCCUCCAAAGUGGGAAUUUCAAGGACUUUCUCAAGAGAGGAAAGGGAACACAUAGAGCAGCAAUAUGAGAUGUGCAGCAGUAGUUCUGGACACACCACCCACAGCUCCUCCUUGGAGACUGGAGAGCCUAAAGCUAAAAUGGCAAGUUAUGGCUUGAGGACACACAGGACAGCUCGGGGGGUCACAAAGAAGAGAAUAACCUUUCCUGAAGCUGAGAAGACCAGGAUGUCUACUUUCCCAGCCCUUUGUUAGAGGGUUUUUCUUUCUCACCUGGGACUUCAUUAGUUAUUUAUCCCAACUACCUUUCCAAGAGCAGAUUUAUUCUGAACCUGAUCAUUGAAAUCUGCCUCACUGUACAAUGAACUUAGUCUGUUGUGACCUUUUAGUAGGUAGAGCAUUAUCUCACAUUUUACCAAUCAAGAAACAGUCUCAGCAUUUGAACUCUCCUAGUGCAUUUAAAGUAUGGUGUGAUUUACAAGAAGUUCUUUAAAAUUUGUGGUUGUUAGUGUUGUUGUGCCUGACUCUUUGUGACCCUAUUUGGGGUCUUCUUAGCAAACAUUGAAGUGGUUUCCCAUUUCCUUCUCUCACUCAUGUUUCAGAUAAGGAAAUUGAGGCAAUUAGAUUAAGUGAGUUGCCUGGGGUCAUAUAACUAGUAUUUGAGUCCAGAUUUGAACUCAGGAAGAUGUGUCUUCCUUUCUCCAGGUGUAGCACUCUAACCACUGUACCACCCAUUUGCCUCUUUUAAAAAGAAUGCCUUUAUUGAAUUAUAGCAAAGGAACCAGAAGGAUUUUCAGAUGUUACCUAGUAUAACUCCCUCAUUUUACAAAUAGAAAAUUCAAGGUCCAGAGAGUUUGAGAUUUGCCACUGUGUCAGAACAAGAACCUCAGUACCCUGACCUCCAGUUUUGUACUUCUCCCCACAAGACCAGUGGUUUCCCACAUAUGGUUUGCAGACUCCAGCAGAGGGGUGAAGUGGAGGCAGGACAUUAUUUCAAAGGACUUGAGAAUCCACAUGUGAAUCAGGCCUUGACAUUUUAAGCUUUAUUGGUUCCUACAGAUGUAUAAGAUGGAAGGUAACUACUAUCAUGCAGGGGACUCAAUAGUGUUUUUUGAGGUUAAAAAGAAAUAUUCUUCAAGAAAGAUAGAGAACUGCUGUGAUUGAUAUUACAUCAAAGAAGGCCCUUGGACUAUUUUUUGCCAUGAGCAAUUUUUUUUAGAUCAAGUAGAGAGGAUGUUCUCUGCCUUAGCUAAAU
This 1646-nucleotide long non-coding RNA is filed under the name Monodelphis domestica (gray short-tailed opossum). Its description in RNAcentral is "lncRNA (ENSMODG00000041665.1)". Lineage: Eukaryota; Metazoa; Chordata; Mammalia; Didelphimorphia; Didelphidae. The record is from RNAcentral.